Molecule: ribosomal RNA, 364 nt
Filed under: uncultured bacterium
Lineage: Bacteria
Description: bacterial SSU rRNA
Rfam family: Bacterial small subunit ribosomal RNA
Source: RNAcentral
GACGAACGCUGGCGGCGUGCUUAACACAUGCAAGUCGAGCGGUAAGGCCCUUUCGGGGGUACGACGAGCGGCGAACGGGUGAGUAACACGUGGGUGACCUGCCCUCAGCUCUGGGAUAAGCCCGGGAAACUGGGUCUAAUACCGGAUAUGACUUCAUGACGCAUGUUGUGGAGUGGAAAGCCUUGUGCGGCUGAGGAUGGGCCCGCGGCCUAUCAGCUUGUUGGUGGGGUGANGGCCUACCAAGGCGACGACGGGUAGCCGGCCUGANAGGGCCGACCGGCACACUGGACUGAGAUACGGCCCAGACUCCUACGGGAGGCAGCAGUGGGGAUCUUGCGCAAUGGGCGAAAGCCUGACGCAGCGA